CCUACGUGAGGCAGCAGUGAGGAAUAUUGGUCAAUGGGCGCGAGCCUGAACCAGCCAAGUAGCGUGAAGGAUGACUGCCCUACGGGUUGUAAACUUCUUUUAUAAAGGAAUACAGUGAGGCACGUGUGCCUUUUUGUAUGUACUUUAUGAAUAAGGAUCGGUUAACUCCGUGCCAGCAGCCGCGGUAAUACGGAGGAUCCGAGCGUUAGCCGGAUUUAUUGGGUUUAAAGGGAGCGUAGAUGGGUUGUUAAGUCAGUUGUGAAAGUUUGCGGCUCAACCGUAAAAUUGCAAUUGAUACUGGCAGUCUUGAGUACAGUUGAGGUAGGCGGAAUUCGUGGUGUAGCGGUGAAAUGCUUAGAUAUCACGAAGAACUCCGAUUGCGAAGGCAGCUUACUAAACUGCCACUGACAUUGAUGCUCGAAAGUGUGGGUAUCAAACAGGAUUAGAUACCCGAGUAGUC
RNAcentral lists this ribosomal RNA (460 nucleotides) under uncultured bacterium. RNAcentral's name for it is "partial 16S ribosomal RNA". It matches the Rfam family "Bacterial small subunit ribosomal RNA", at positions 338 to 795 of the family's 1533-position model. The record is from RNAcentral.